UACGGAGGGUGCGAGCGUUAUCCGGAUUCACUGGGUUUAAAGGGUGCGUAGGUGGGGAUGUAAGUCAGUGGUGAAAUCUCCGUGCUUAACACGGAAACUGCCAUUGAUACUAUGUUUCUUGAAUUUUCUGGAGGUCAGCGGAAUAUGUCAUGUAGCGGUGAAAUGCUUAGAUAUGACAUAGAACACCAAUUGCGAAGGCAGCUGGCUACAGGGAUAUUGACACUGAGGCACGAAAGCUUGGGGAUCAAACAGG
This 253-nucleotide ribosomal RNA is filed under the name uncultured bacterium. RNAcentral's name for it is "partial 16S ribosomal RNA". It matches the Rfam family "Bacterial small subunit ribosomal RNA", at positions 524 to 776 of the family's 1533-position model. The record is from RNAcentral.